AGACUAUUAGUUCAGAGGCUAGAAUGCUUGCUUGUCACGCAAGAGGUCACGGGUUCGAGUCCCGUAUAGUCUG
RNAcentral lists this transfer RNA (73 nucleotides) under Myroides odoratimimus. Its description in RNAcentral is "tRNA-Asp". It matches the Rfam family "tRNA". Rfam says of the family: Transfer RNA (tRNA) molecules are approximately 80 nucleotides in length. Their secondary structure includes four short double-helical elements and three loops (D, anti-codon, and T loops). The record is from RNAcentral. Lineage: Bacteria; Pseudomonadati; Bacteroidota; Flavobacteriia; Flavobacteriales; Flavobacteriaceae.